UGGAUCUGUGAUGACCCGUGGUGCCGUAUGAGCUGUGGAUCAUGACUACAGGUCUGGGAGACUGAGGUCCAC
Small nucleolar RNA from Meriones unguiculatus (Mongolian gerbil), 72 nucleotides. The record is from Ensembl. Lineage: Eukaryota; Metazoa; Chordata; Mammalia; Rodentia; Muridae.